AAAUAGACAAUGUCUGUAUUACAGCAUUCACAUUGGUCUUUCAAUAGUCAUCAUAGUGGUCUGAAUCUCAUCAUUUAGAAAGGGAAUCUUUGCAGCCACGAUGGAAGCCAGUGGUGUAUUUAACACAACCACACAAUUAACGAAGAUGGACGAGACACUGCCCUGGUCUCUCCAGGUGGUCAUCAUCACGGCCGUUGUUGCUGUGUUCAUCGUCUUGUGUGUUCUCAUCUUUCUGGUUGCUAGGAGACUAAACAGACGCCUGGAGCCUAAUAACUCGUGGAUGUCAAAUCAAAAAAUGCUACCACCAUAUAGGCCUAUUCCAGUGCAUUCAAAUUUUGCAGGUCCAUUUAUUAGCCCGGAAAUACUCGGCUAUCCUAAGAUGGACAAAGACGGUAAAGCUGACAUUGUUUGAGUCUCGCUGAGUUCGAAACCAUUGAGCCCCAACUUGCCAAUUGAUCUGUCAUCUAGUGCUCAUCAUCUGCAGAUAUACAUUUCAAGAAUUUUUGUUUUACUUAGGCCUACACUUAAUUACAGCAACAACAAAAUGUGCUAAAGAGUAUUGGUCUUGUAUAAAAACGCUGUGAAAGGAGCCAAGCCGGCAUAAGUAUUUGUAAUCACUUCUACAAAGUAGGCACAUUAGCCUAACAGAUUUCUACUCGAUUUCUACAACUGAAAUAAUGUUAGGCUACAUCUCAAUAGCCCAGUCAUCAAACUUUGGAACCACUCGAUCUGAUGUACCGCAUUUUUUUACUACUUCUGUGAUAUGUUUUUUAUGUGUACAGAAUUGUAUUUAAAACUGUUAUUUUGAAAUGUUCAAAAGAAAUGUGCGUCUCUUCUAAAUCUAUUUACCAUGCUCCAUUUAUGGCGUCCACGAUUACUAAUGAGGGGCGGACUAGUCGACUUUUGUGUGAUGGGGAGGGGGCGUCAAUGUGGACGUCCCAAGUUGUAUUUUACACCAACAUGUUUACAUUAAAAGAAUUUUUUAAGUAGUCUGUUCUGUAGAAAAAAAGCUGGUUAACUGGUUAACUAAGUAUUAGUUAAAUCACUGUAUCCACUUCAUAUAACAUAUUGCUAUGUGGGAAACAACAAAUGGCUAAUUAUAAUGCAACAGACGACUAAAUGAAUAUGUUAUUCGUUUCCUUCUAAAGGUAACAUAGAAUUCCCACCAGUUUUUAUUUGAAUUGAAAACAAUUAGAAUAAACAAGCGCUCAUCAUUAGUUAACCUCUAAGUACGACAUAAUCUAGAAUAUACCUAGAAUAUAUAGUAACAGACAUUUCCGUAGAGAAUAAGCGGGCUAACCAUUAUAUAAAUUAUUCGAAUUGCAGUGUACAAAUAGGACCUACUAUGUACUAUAUAAAGUAAGUUAUGAAAGACCGAUUAUAUUUGUGUGGACGUCUACAUCUCGUUGAAGUGGUGGGGUGGCGUUUCUAAUUGGAUACUUAUGAACAGGGGGGGGGGGGCAAAAGCUCCUUUUUGUGGACGUCAUAAGUAAUGAAACAUCCCCGUAUGUUUCCCAAUCCUGGCUGUGAAAAUAAUAUGGUCACAUUAAGUAGUUAUCAUUCUUGAUGCAGUAUUUAAAAUGUAUAAAUAUCAUAAUUAUUGUUUUGUAACCUUUCUUUAAAAUUAAUAAAUAUAGGCAUAUCCACAACUGUAUAACCUAAUCGCUGGCUAUGACAGGUUGGUAAACCUUAAGGCUAGUAUAUGGGUUAAGACUGGUUGUAGGAAAAGAUACGGCCUGGUGAUGUUGUCGGCAACAUUGACUUACGUGGAUAGAGACUAUGUUACCCAUCCUUGUGGCUAAGUUAUAUUCACAAAUAUCAUGUACACUCAGUGGCGUAGCGAGGUCGGGUGUCACCCGGUGUGGCACUUAAUGGCGUCACCCCCCAGAGGCGUAGCCACCCUUACCGGGGACAAACUUUCAAAUUUUCGAUUUGCA
This is a long non-coding RNA of Physella acuta, 1937 nucleotides long. RefSeq lists it as uncharacterized. The record is from RefSeq and is a predicted model, not a curated record. Lineage: Eukaryota; Metazoa; Mollusca; Gastropoda; Physidae.